RNAcentral lists this ribosomal RNA (450 nucleotides) under uncultured bacterium. Its description in RNAcentral is "partial 16S ribosomal RNA". It matches the Rfam family "Bacterial small subunit ribosomal RNA", at positions 330 to 793 of the family's 1533-position model. The record is from RNAcentral.
UCCAGACUCCUACGGGAGGCAGCAGUGGGGAAUAUUGCACAAUGGGGGGAACCCUGAUCCAGCGACGCCGCGUGAGUGAAGAAGUAUUUCGGUAUGUAAAGCUCUCUCAGCAGGGAAGAAGGAGGACGGUACCUGACUAAGAAGCCCCGGCUAACUACGUGCCAGCAGCCGCGGUAAUACGUAGGGGGCAAGCGUUAUCCGGAUUUACUGGGUGUAAAGGGUGCGUAGGCGGUGUAGCAAGUUAGAAGUGAAAUACCUAGAGCUUAACUCAGGUGCUGCUUCUAAAACUGCUAUACUUGAGUGCAGUAGAGGAAAGUGGAAUUCCUAGUGUAGCGGUGGAAUGCGUAGAUAUUAGGAGGAACAUCAGUGGCGAAGGCGACUUUCUGGACUGUAACUGACGCUGAGGCACGAAAGUGUGGGGAGCAAACAGGAUUAGAUACCCCGGUAAAA